AUAUAUAAAGAAAACAACGUUAUAUAUUCAUUGUAAUUUUAAAUUUUAAGUUCAUUGUGUGAUCGACUGAUAUGAAUGAUAAGAGGAUGUAUACUCUUAUCAUCAUAGCAGUCGACACACAUGAUAUAGUUAAUGUAUUACAAAUUACUUAUUUUUCUUUUGCAACUCUUAAAUAAUUUUAAGUAUAAAAUCUUAAUGAAUAUUAUACUAUUAAUAUUAUAAUAUAAACUUCUAUUGUUGUUUUCUUUACAUUUCAGUACAGAAACGCAACUUGGGUUUUUAUUAAAAAAAAAGAAGGGAUUAAUCCAACAAGAUUAUAAACUCCAUUAUA
Molecule: long non-coding RNA, 331 nt
Organism: Daktulosphaira vitifoliae (grape phylloxera)
Lineage: Eukaryota; Metazoa; Arthropoda; Insecta; Hemiptera; Phylloxeridae
Exons: 2
Source: RefSeq, a predicted model, not a curated record